ACUGGGCUUAGGUUAAUUGGUCACUCUACAUUGCCCAUGAGUGUGAAUGGUUGUCUGUCUCUCUGUGUUAGCCCUGUGACAGGCUGGUGCCCCAGCCCCCCUGACCCUGAACAAGAUAACUGGAAGAUGGAUGGAUGUUCUCACUCCUUACUUGUCACAUAUGGAUGCUUGGGCAGGGUCCCUCUGCGUCGCUCAUGAAUGCGCUGGGUACCCCCAGUACCCCUCAAUAGUAGCUAUAAAAUGUGCUACUACUUUCCCAGUUGGCGUAUUUGUCAAUUCCUAACAGUUUCAUUCAUUCCAUUUCAGUUUGAACAUAUUUCAUCCAGCUUCUGUGGAUUUAUGCAGUCAUUUUACCAUCUCUGCUUUAGCCAAUCUAGCUUUUGGAGAUGUACCAAAAAUUAAAAUUAAAUAUAGAAAUAAGGACAGUUUUAAUGUGGGCCAAAACAUGCGCAGUGUUCAUCUAAGAUUAUGCCGACUAACAUAUUUGAAAAAAAAUUUUUUUUAAUUUCAAAUCAGUGUCACUGACAUCAUCGUAUACGACCAUUACAAGACCGCUCAGUGAGUGAAAACACGAACCUGUAAAGAUUUUAUAUAAAACAGAAAAGAGCCCGAAAGUGUCAGCUCUCUGUCUUGUCUCUCUCAUUUCUCUGUCCUCACUGCUCUUAUUUGUCAGUCCUUCUGUUAUCCCUGUCUCUGUUUCUGUCCCUUUGUCUCUGCUAUAUGUGAGUGAUUUUGUGUAUUUGCUUUUUCUGUCGAUCACCAUGAGUGACUCGAAAAUCCAAGAUCCUUUAAUGAGCCUGGAUAAUGAGACUGAUCAGCAUGAAAUAACUGAUGAGCUUCAACAUCUUGAUGACUUGCUUCAUGAGCUGGAGCAAGAGGAAGCUCCAGUACCAGUGAAGACACCUGAACCAACAGUGAGCUGGAGAAAGCAAGACAAGGAUGGAAAUGAGCUGUAUUUGAGGCCAAGAUCAACCAGGCACCAGCCACAUAAGGAUCUGAGGAGCAGGCCAUCUUUGAAGACAUCUUCAUAGCAAAGGAUGAAGACGUGGCAAGAUUUGUUGACUAUAUACACAACACAAGCAGACAUGUCUCUGAAAGAGGUGUUUGUGUAAGGGGAAUGGUCAGCAACCAGAGAGACCUCCCAAAGACCCAGCAACAAGAUGCAUGAAGAGGGACUGGACUUAUAGUGUGUAGGCAUGGAGUGCUGCGCAGUGCUCUAAACAUGUACAGGGGUGAAAUUUUUGCUUAUUCCUUGUACCUGCAACAAAGGCUGGACAAUCAGCAAAUUACUUUUUUUUGUAUGGAUAUGACCUGCAAGUAUUGGCCGUAUCUUGAAAGAGUAACAAAAGAUGUCCAGAGCUUCAGCACCAAACAUGAAGCCAUUUCUUUCAGGAUUUCAUUCCAUAGCUCACGAUUUCAAAUGUGAGGUGAAAUGGAAUGGAGCAUAUCAGGAUGGGGCUGGUUUGACACUGGGGGAGGAGGUAGAGUAGUGCAAUGCUUUUCUCUCAAGGAUUGCAGUUACCAUAAAGCAUAUGUCCAAAGCAGGAUGGAGAGACAUGCUGACUCUUAUGGCAAUAUGCUGGAAUCGCCAAAGGUUAGACAACUUGGCCAUCUCUCUGACCCACCGAUAUCAGAAAACCACAAAAGCUCUUCUAAGCCAACUGCAGAACCCGGAGCCCUUAAAAGUCCACUUGGCAGUGACUGACAGUCAACUGGACAACUGGGUCAGUGAUGUAAAAGAGUGGGCAGAAGCUGCAGCAACAACAAGCACAGGUGAUGCCGAUGCCUUAGUGAACAGAAUUGAAGUGCUGGUAGCGCGUAUCAAGAGGCAAUGCCAACGUCGGCCAAGAUUCACCGCAAGAUCAGAGAGGAGAAAGGCAUCUUGUCUUCUGCUGUGGAAAAACAACAGAAUGGUUCCUGACACACAAACUCUGCAUUAGGAAGAAAUCCUGUCCGCUGACACAGCUUGGCCGUGGCAGCGACCACACAUACUCUGUCAGUCUUCGAACAAAGAGAAGGGCAUUUGAUGUCAUCAUGGCAGUAAAGAGACUUGAGGAAGAAAAGAAGAUUCUUGUUAGAGCGAUGGCCCAUCACUGGAAAUCUCUUUCAGCUCAUGAUCAUACUCUGAAUGAGCUGUACUGCCUGCUUUCCAGUGAUACAUACCCCAAGUUUGUCUUGUGGCCUGAGUGAGGAGGGUGUGAACGGUCCACAGAGCAUCAUCCUCAGAAAGCGAGAGAAUGUCAAACAAGUCAAGCUGCAUGCGAGAGAGUGUUAUCUGCAAGCUGGUGACCUCUGUCUGGAGCAGAGGUCACCACCUUUGAUCAUGCUUCAGAUGAUGAGUUCAAUGGCUCUGAAUUUUCCAUCCACUUCAAACUUAGCCACUUCAGGGGACACAUGUAGCUAUAGACAUACCUCACCCACAAAUGUACUUUUGGACAUAUUUUUUCCACUGUAUAUUUUCCUGUUUAUUUAUCUUAAUUGAUCCAGUGGUUACUAGGCCAACAAAGUGUAGU
Long non-coding RNA from Archocentrus centrarchus (flier cichlid), 2513 nucleotides. RefSeq lists it as uncharacterized. Lineage: Eukaryota; Metazoa; Chordata; Actinopteri; Cichliformes; Cichlidae. The record is from RefSeq and is a predicted model, not a curated record. The transcript is spliced from 9 exons.